This 245-nucleotide ribosomal RNA is filed under the name uncultured bacterium. RNAcentral's name for it is "partial 16S ribosomal RNA". It matches the Rfam family "Bacterial small subunit ribosomal RNA", at positions 524 to 768 of the family's 1533-position model. The record is from RNAcentral.
UACGGAGGGUGCGAGCGUUGUUCGGAAUUAUUGGGCGUAAAGAGCGUGUAGGCGGUCUCGUAAGUCAGAUGUGAAAUACCGUGGCUCAACCACGGAAGGGCAUCUGAAACUACGGGACUUGAGUACUGGAGAGGAGAGUAGAAUUCCCAGUGUAGAGGUGAAAUUCGUAGAUAUUGGGAGGAACACCGGUGGCGAAGGCGGCUCUCUGGACUGACACUGACGCUGAGACGCGAAAGCGUGGGGAG